AACGAACGCUGGCGGCAGGCUUAACACAUGCAAGUCGAACGCUCGUAGCAAUACGGGAGUGGCGGACGGGUGAGUAACGCGUGGGAACGUACCCUGAGGUACGGAAUAACCGAGGGAAACUUCGGCUAAUACCGUAUGAGCCCCGCAAGGGGGAAAGAUUUAUCGCCUUGGGAGCGGCCCGCGUCGGAUUAGCUAGUUGGUGGGGUAACGGCCUACCAAGGCUUCGAUCCGUAGCUGGUCUGAGAGGACGAUCAGCCACACUGGGACUGAGACACGGCCCAGACUCCUACGGGAGGCAGCAGUGGGGAAUCUUGCGCAAUGGGGGCAACCCUGACGCAGCCAUGCCGCGUGAACGAUGAAGGCCUUAGGGUUGUAAAGUUCUUUUACCCGUGACGAUGAUGACGGUAACGGGGGAAUAAGCUCCGGCUAACUUCGUG
Molecule: ribosomal RNA, 437 nt
Filed under: uncultured bacterium
Lineage: Bacteria
Description: bacterial SSU rRNA
Rfam family: Bacterial small subunit ribosomal RNA
Source: RNAcentral